UGGGGAAUUUUGGACAAUGGGCGAAAGCCUGAUCCAGCAAUGCCGCGUGUGUGAAGAAGGCCUUCGGGUUGUAAAGCACUUUUGUCCGGAAAGAAAUGGCUCUGGUUAAUACCUGGGGUCGAUGACGGUACCGGAAGAAUAAGGACCGGCUAACUACGUGCCAGCAGCCGCGGUAAUACGUAGGGUCCAAGCGUUAAUCGGAAUUACUGGGCGUAAAGCGUGCGCAGGCGGUUGUGCAAGACCGAUGUGAAAUCCCCGAGCUUAACUUGGGAAUUGCAUUGGUGACUGCACGGCUAGAGUGUGUCAGAGGGGGGUAGAAUUCCACGUGUAGCAGUGAAAUGCGUAGAGAUGUGGAGGAAUACCGAUGGCGAAGGCAGCCCCCUGGGAUAACACUGGCGCUCAUGCACGAAAGCGUGGGGAGCAAACAGGAUUAGAUACCCUGGUAGUCCACGCCCUAAACGAUGUCAACUAGUUGUUGGGGAUUCAUUUCCUUAGUAACGUAGCUAACGCGUGAAGUUGACCGCCUGGGGAGUACGGUCGCAAGAUU
This 547-nucleotide ribosomal RNA is filed under the name uncultured bacterium. Its description in RNAcentral is "partial 16S ribosomal RNA". It matches the Rfam family "Bacterial small subunit ribosomal RNA", at positions 355 to 895 of the family's 1533-position model. The record is from RNAcentral.